GCAUUCAACACAUGCAUAGAAAAUAUCAACAAAAUAAAGAAAUAGCAAAACCGAACAAAACAAAGCAGAAAGUUCACUUUAGAAAAUGAAACGCCAAACGAACAUCAGCAGUGGCUCUUCCUCAACCCAAAUCAGCCAAAGUGCUUCCCACUAUAUCUGCAUCGAUACCCACAGAAAGGAAACACUGGAGCUAUGAACAGAUUCUUGGAGAUUCAACCGAACCUUCUCCAAAGUUUAAAGCUAACUCAUCAACAACCUUGAGACUUCCGUCCCCACGCAAUCCAGUCCUUUCUCACCGCCUGUAGAAUCAGAUUUGGGACAUCAGUAUCCCAGAUCCGAUAAGCCUCUCUCCUCCGUCUUUCGAUGGCUAGAGCAUGCGCCGUUUCAUUUCCUUCCCGAGGCACAAAUGUGUAAGUAACCUCUUCAAAACUCCUAUCAAGCUGUUGGAUGUGAUAAACGAUCGAUCUAAUAAUCGAUUUGCCCACCUCUCUAUUUCUAAUGGAUUUUAUGACUGACAAGGCAUCCCCUUCCACCACCAGCCGUUGGAGACCCAACGCAUGUGUAAAAAUCAACGCUCUCUCACAAGCCCGAGCCUCUGCCACAAAAGGGUCAGCAACAUCAUUUAAAAGUGAGCUUUCAAAAGAGGGAUUCUGCACCAAUAACGAGUUCCAAAUAUCCUGCAGAACAUCACAACUCCACAAGAGGUGAUCAGAAUUCUCCAACUCAUUCUUACACAAUGGACAUACCACAGCUACGCACAGAGUCCGACGCGCCAGAUUUUCGUAGUGAGGCACCAAAUUGUGAAACAGCCGCCAAACGUGUAUUUUAAUUUUUCCUGGAAUACUUAAAUUCCAUAGCCCUGUAAAGAAUUUUUUGUAAUUCUCCGAUAUAGAGGAUAGGUUAGCUCUAUUUUAUAAUAAUACUAUAGAGAGGGCCCUGUAUCCGCUCUUGACCGUAUAUUCACCCGAACCCUCAUACUUCCAAACCCUCACGUCUUCCGGCCUACUCACGAAAAUAGGUAUAGAGAGGAUUCUUUUAACAGUUUCAUCAUCAAACAGCUUAUGUAUGACCUCCCUGUUCCAGGUAACCAGGGAUCGUUCUAUAGAUUAGUGCACCCACCGUCCCCCACCCGCCACACCAUCCCUUCUCGAAUCACCUUACGAGCACUGCAGAUACUUCUCUAGGUAAAUGAGGGGCUUGGACGUGUAGCCUUACCCAUGAGCAAGUCUAAUACUAUGGCUAAGAGCGGAGCCGCAAAGUUGAGGAAGUUGAAAGCGCAGAUAAAAGUGACAAAGUCGAUAGAGUUUGAUGGUAGGAUUAGUAAGGAGUCUCUAACAGAAUUUGUUUCUAGAAAUAGGAAAUAGGUAUGUUUCGAGAUGCAGAAAAAAUUUGGAGGGUGAUGAAGAUAAUGCUGUGGAUGUUUUGGUCGAGAUUGUGACUUGACAAAUUCUUAUAUGAAGAUUUCAGCAGUUUUUUUAUAUGAGUGGAGUAGGUGUUGGUCGUUAAAGGUAUUCAAGAAGGCAAGUAACAUAGUGGAUCCAAUUGGAACUUCUUGUUGGCUUUGCGUUCAGUGGUAUUUGUGGAGUUUUAUUGUGGUUACAGAAUUUGUGAAGUGUGAUUACUAGUAGUGAAGUAUGGUUGAAGCUUUUAUUAGUGAUAUUGAAGGUGUGUUUUAGAUGGUCUUUGUUUGUUUAGUGAGUUUCAUUGGAGAUGUGUGGUUUUCUCUUUCUAUAA
Molecule: RNA transcript, 1734 nt
Organism: Gossypium raimondii (Peruvian cotton)
Lineage: Eukaryota; Viridiplantae; Streptophyta; Magnoliopsida; Malvales; Malvaceae
Exons: 4
Source: RefSeq, a predicted model, not a curated record